UCACGUAUUAUUUUGUGCCUCUAGCUAGAUGUGUUUUGCUAAUGUGGUUGUUAUUAAGACAGGAAAAAUAAGAUACAUGUUCUAUUCACUAUUUAUUAAGUGAGGUUUUGGCUCUUGGUUCUUGACCUUUAAAGAGCUUUUGGUUAUUCCUAUGCAGAUUAUGAGGGAAUGGAGGAAAUGAGGACCAAAAAUUAAGGGCCCCAAACCAAUAGGGAAAGAAGAUAUACUGGUGACAUUGUGGGGGGAUAUUUCAUGCAGUCUUGAUAUUGAGGCUAUCAGGACAACACGGCCACCUGCACUUGCAGUUUUCACAAGCCUCAAAUUGAAACAAUAUCAAACACCAUCCUCUAUGCACAGCUAUAUAUUGAAGGCUUCUGUCAUGGAAGCAAUUAGGCUUUCAAAUAUAUUUCUGCUAACCUCAUUAGUCAUUAGAGAUGCCAGUUUCAAGAAUAAGUCUGAAACAAAUUCGGUGAUUGAGGCAAUUAAUCAAUAGUAGUAAUUAUUUACUUUUUGGUUUUCCAUUCAAACGUAAUUUCUUUCUCUUAUGUCAGUUAUGUGUGGAUCUCCCGUGCAACUCUAUUUUCAAGUUUAGUGGGAAUUGGUGAUUGAGUCCACCAAAUUCAUUGAUAAGAGAUUUUAGAUGAAAUUGUAGAGGAACCACUUCAAUUAGCAAAGAUGAUUUAUUGAGGCUGAAAGUAUUACUUAUAUAUAUUGACUAGCUAAAAAAUUUGGAUUUGGUAAUAUAUAUUCUGAUGUAUAUGUCUUACCAAUUUGUAAAUAUUCUUCCUUCAAAAAAGAAUAAUUGUAUGCAUAUACCUUUA
Molecule: long non-coding RNA, 821 nt
Organism: Rosa rugosa (rugosa rose)
Lineage: Eukaryota; Viridiplantae; Streptophyta; Magnoliopsida; Rosales; Rosaceae
Exons: 3
Source: RefSeq, a predicted model, not a curated record